Triticum aestivum (bread wheat) is the source of this 72-nucleotide non-coding RNA. NCBI's taxonomy places the organism in Eukaryota, Viridiplantae, Streptophyta, Magnoliopsida, Poales, Poaceae. The record is from Rfam.
GGGUCCAUAGCUCAGUGGUAGAGCAAUUGACUGCAGAUUAAUAGGUCACCGGUUCAAACCCGGUUGGGCCCU